Molecule: non-coding RNA, 1371 nt
Organism: Arachis ipaensis
Lineage: Eukaryota; Viridiplantae; Streptophyta; Magnoliopsida; Fabales; Fabaceae
Source: RefSeq, a predicted model, not a curated record
AUCUUUCUCUCUCUCUUUGAUUUAUUAUUAAUAUUGUUAGUGGAGUAGAGAGUGAUUGAGAACUUGAGUGCCUUGCAGCAGAGUGAGGAGUUCUUGAACCUUGAAAAAGCUAAGAGAAAGAUAGAUACGCACAAACAAGAUGGAGCCAAAGAGAUAGUGAAAAACAGUGUUACUCCUAAUUAAUAAAUAUGACUCCUUAUCAAACCUACCUAUAUAUAACACUACAUGCUUCUAACUUCUAACUAAACUUCUAUAUAUACACCCAUAUAUAUCCCAUCUAUAAUAUCAUAUAUUUCUAACCCUUUCUCUAGUAAAUUAAAUCUUGCUCUUUUUUUUUCUCCUUAAUUAGUGUGGAUCGGAGAUUUAUUAUUAUUAUUAUUGUUCAUGUUGAAGAAGGAAAUUAAAGGAGGGUGUCUGGAAUGAAGUUUGAUCCGAAAUCAUUGUCUCUCUCAUCUGAAUCAUAUUCUUUUUCCUUUUUAUUUUGCUUUUCCCUUACUAGCUUUGCUUGUUGCCAAAGAUAGAUAAUAAAAUUUCACAUUUUUAUAUAUACAUACACAUAUCGAACAAUAAUAGAUGAAAAGGGAUAGUGGAAGGAAGCUAAGGAGAGUGGGUGUUUGGAAUGAGGUUUGAUCCAAGAUAUAUAUCUACAAAUAUAUCAUUUUUUUUUUAAUUUGUAUUAUGAUGAUGAAUAAUUGAUGCAUGAGAUUUAUAUGAAUAUGGAUGGUGGGGGAUUGAUUAUAUUGAUCUCGGACCAGGCUUCAUUCCUCACACCUACCUUUCCUAUAUAUAAUGUUACAACCUACCAAAGAAGCAAUCAACUUUCACCAUCAACAACACAACCCAAUCCAAAGAUAUGCGGAUAUGCGGAUACCUACAUAAAAUUCGCAAUUCCAUCCUAUAAGUAUGCGGAUCGGAUCCAUAUCCGCAAUUUUCGGAUCGGAUUCAGAUAAAUACCGCGGAUAUGCGGAUCGGAUCCGAUCCGAUCUAUGAACACCCUUAACACCAAUUGCCGAUGACGCUGAAAAUGCCACACCAGAAGAGAAGAAAAAGAUUACUCAAUUAACGAAGAAGCAUGAUGAAGAUACUUUUGCAUAUCGAGGUCAUAUUCUCAACACUUUAUCCGACUGACUCUAUGAUAUUUACCUAUCAAUUCAAUCACCAUUGGAGAUUUAGAAGUCUUUAGAAGAAAAGUACAACACUGAACGACAAAGAACAGAUAAGUUUAUUAUGAUGAAAUAUUUUUAUUUUAUUACGAAUGAUACUAUGCCUGUUAUGAAUCAAAUUCAUGAAUUACAAAUCCUUGUAAGUAGACUUAGUGAUCUACAAGUGGUGAUUUCCAAAUGAUUACAAGUUGGAGCAAUUAUUUUAAAA